AAGCGGGAAACUAGCUUCAAGAUAAGUAUUCUACGAGGAAGCUUCGAGAACAGGAGCUGGAUAGGUUGGGGGUGUACGCGCAGUAAUGUGUUUAGCUGACCAAUACUAAUCGAACGAAAUUUUAAUCGG
This 129-nucleotide ribosomal RNA is filed under the name Fusobacterium necrophorum. Its description in RNAcentral is "partial 23S ribosomal RNA". It matches the Rfam family "Bacterial large subunit ribosomal RNA", at positions 2783 to 2925 of the family's 2925-position model. Lineage: Bacteria; Fusobacteriati; Fusobacteriota; Fusobacteriia; Fusobacteriales; Fusobacteriaceae. The record is from RNAcentral.